GUAGACCAGGCUGGUCUUGAACUCACUGAAAUAUACCUGCUUUUGCUGGGGAAAAAGAUCAAAAUGUGAGUUCUUAUAUGUUUCUGCUGCUAUGCUUUUGGUCUACCAUCAUAGAAUCUAACCCUCUGAAACCAUAUGCCCAGCUAAGCAUUCUCUUUUGUAAGUUGUUUUGGUCAUGGUACUUUGUCAGAGCAGUACAAAAGUAACUAAGACAAUUGCCAUCUACUGGAAGAAGAAGCUACUCUGAUAAGGACUGAAAGAUGCACUCAUCUAUGGAUAUAAUGUAGCAUGAAAUAGCAAUUUUCCCACAAGUGAAAGCUAGCCAGUAGAGUUGAAUCUUCCAUAGUGAACCUGCCUGCAUAGAGUGGACCCACCCAGACAGGAAGGACCUCCAUGAGUCUGGAAAUACCGCACUCUUUCUUCCCUCUUCGCCCUGAUCUCUGCUGAGAUUGGUGCCUACCCCAAUUGUCAUCAGAGAGGCUUCAUCCAGUAACUGAUGGAAACAGAUGCAAAGACACACAUGCAGAUGUU
This 531-nucleotide long non-coding RNA is filed under the name Cricetulus griseus (Chinese hamster). RNAcentral's name for it is "lncRNA (ENSCGRG00015031029.1)". Lineage: Eukaryota; Metazoa; Chordata; Mammalia; Rodentia; Cricetidae. The record is from RNAcentral.